This 253-nucleotide ribosomal RNA is filed under the name uncultured bacterium. Its description in RNAcentral is "partial 16S ribosomal RNA". It matches the Rfam family "Bacterial small subunit ribosomal RNA", at positions 524 to 776 of the family's 1533-position model. The record is from RNAcentral.
UACGUAGGGUGCAAGCGUUAAUCGGAAUUACUGGGCGUAAAGCGUGCGCAGGCGGCUUUGCAAGUCAGAUGUGAAAUCCCCGGGCUCAACCUGGGAACUGCAUUUGUGACUGCAUGGCUAGAGUGCGGCAGAGGGGGAUGGAAUUCCGCGUGUAGCAGUGAAAUGCGUAGAUAUGCGGAGGAACACCGAUGGCGAAGGCAAUCCCCUGGGCCUGCACUGACGCUCAUGCACGAAAGCGUGGGGAGCAAACAGG